ACUCGGACCUCAAAUCAGGCAAGGCUACCCGCUGAGUUUAAGCAUAUCAAUA
RNAcentral lists this ribosomal RNA (52 nucleotides) under Lygodium volubile. Its description in RNAcentral is "partial 26S ribosomal RNA". The record is from RNAcentral. Lineage: Eukaryota; Viridiplantae; Streptophyta; Polypodiopsida; Schizaeales; Lygodiaceae.